Molecule: long non-coding RNA, 225 nt
Filed under: Trifolium pratense (red clover)
Lineage: Eukaryota; Viridiplantae; Streptophyta; Magnoliopsida; Fabales; Fabaceae
Description: long non-coding RNA (TPRA_LNC009644)
Source: RNAcentral
AGACUUCAUCAUCUGAGGUUGUAACAUCUGAAGUCCAACAUCUUCUGAGCGCUUGUGAACUUCUGAAUUCACAUCCUCUGAGCUUCACUCAGAGCUUAUCUGAUGCUUAUAUCUGCGCACUUAAAAUAAAUUUUUAGUCCUUCCAAUUGUUUAUUAAUACUUUGUUAUCAUCAAAACCUUUAUAGAUUUAGGGGCAAACAUUUUUAAAUCAAUUUUGUUCCAACA